This 499-nucleotide ribosomal RNA is filed under the name uncultured Glomeromycotina. RNAcentral's name for it is "partial small subunit ribosomal RNA". It matches the Rfam family "Eukaryotic small subunit ribosomal RNA", at positions 591 to 1092 of the family's 1831-position model. Lineage: Eukaryota; Fungi; Glomeromycota. The record is from RNAcentral.
CCAAUAGCGUAUAUUAAAGUUGUUGCAGUUAAAAAGCUCGUAGUUGAAUUUCGGGAUCAGACUGUCGGUCGUGCCUCGGUACGCACUGGCAUUAUUGGUUCCUACCUUCUGAAGAACCGCGAUGUCAUUAAUUUGGUGUCGUGGGGAAUCAGGACUGUUACUUUGAAAAAAUUAGAGUGUUUAAAGCAGGCGCACGCUUGAAUACAUUAGCAUGGAAUAAUGAAAUAGGACGUUUGAUUCUAUUUUGUUGGUUUCUAGGAUCGACGUAAUGAUUAAUAGGGAUAGUUGGAGGCAUUAGUAUUCAAUUGUCAGAGGUGAAAUUCUUGGAUUUAUUGAAGAAUAACUACUGCGAAAGCAUUUGCCAAGGAUGUUUUUAUUAAUCAAGAACGAAAGUUAGGGGAUCGAAGACGAUCAGAUACCGUCGUAGUCUUAACCAUAAACUAUGCCGACUAGGGAUCGGAUGAUGUUAAUUUUUUAAUGACUCAUUCGGCGCCUUACG